CCUACGGGUGGCAGCAGUGAGGAAUAUUGGUCAAUGGACGAGAGUCUGAACCAGCCAAGUAGCGUGCAGGAUGACGGCCCUAUGGGUUGUAAACUGCUUUUAUGCGGGGAUAAAGUGAGGGACGUGUCCUUCAUUGCAGGUACCGCAUGAAUAAGGACCGGCUAAUUCCGUGCCAGCAGCCGCGGUAAUACGGAAGGUCCGGGCGUUAUCCGGAUUUAUUGGGUUUAAAGGGAGCGUAGGCCGUGGAUUAAGCGUGUUGUGAAAUGUAGACGCUCAACGUCUGACUUGCAGCGCGAACUGGUCCACUUGAGUGUGCACAACGCAGGCGGAAUUCGUCGUGUAGCGGUGAAAUGCUUAGAUAUGACGAAGAACCCCGAUUGCGAAGGCAGCUUGCGGGAGCACGACUGACGUUGAAGCUCGAAAGUGCGGGUAUCGAACAGGAUUAGAUACCCUGGUAGUC
Molecule: ribosomal RNA, 460 nt
Filed under: uncultured Prevotella sp.
Lineage: Bacteria; Pseudomonadati; Bacteroidota; Bacteroidia; Bacteroidales; Prevotellaceae
Description: bacterial SSU rRNA
Rfam family: Bacterial small subunit ribosomal RNA
Source: RNAcentral